AACGCACACUGCGCCCGCCAGCAUUCUGGCGGGCAUGCCUGUUCGAGCGUCAUUUCAACCAUCAAGCCCCGGGCUUGUGUUGGGGACCUGCGGCUGCCCGCAGGCCCCGAAAUGCAGUGGCGGGCUCGCUGUCACACCGAGCGUAGUAGCAUACACCUCGCUCAGGGCGUGCCGCGUGCUUCCCGGCCGUUAAACCGCGCACCGACGCACCAAGGUUGACCUCGGAUCAGGUAGGAAGACCCGCUGAACUUAA
Molecule: unclassified non-coding RNA, 253 nt
Filed under: uncultured Chaetomiaceae
Lineage: Eukaryota; Fungi; Ascomycota; Sordariomycetes; Sordariales
Description: sequence contains ITS2
Source: RNAcentral